UUAUACGAGAUGGUGUCUCACUGACC
Molecule: non-coding RNA, 26 nt
Filed under: Rattus norvegicus (Norway rat)
Lineage: Eukaryota; Metazoa; Chordata; Mammalia; Rodentia; Muridae
Source: RNAcentral